This 336-nucleotide ribosomal RNA is filed under the name uncultured bacterium. RNAcentral's name for it is "bacterial SSU rRNA". It matches the Rfam family "Bacterial small subunit ribosomal RNA", at positions 8 to 334 of the family's 1533-position model. The record is from RNAcentral.
AGAGUUUGAUUCUGGCUCAGGAUGAACGCUAGCUACAGGCUUAACACAUGCAAGUCGAGGGGAAACGAUAGAGAAAGCUUGCUUUUUCUAGGCGUCGACCGGCGCACGGUGAGUAACGCGUAUCCGACCUGCCCACCACUUGGGGAUAACCUUGCGAAAGUAAGACUAAUACCCAAUGACGUCUCUAGAAGACAUCUGGAAGGGAUUAAAGAUUUAUCGGUGAUGGAUGGGGAUGCGUCUGAUUAGCUUGUUGGCGGGGUAACGGCCCACCAAGGCUACGAUCAGUAGGGGUUCUGAGAGGGUGACCGGCCACAUUGGGACUGAGACACGGCCCAA